CGAUCUCAGACAGACCAGCGA
Molecule: ribosomal RNA, 21 nt
Filed under: Cuphea ingrata
Lineage: Eukaryota; Viridiplantae; Streptophyta; Magnoliopsida; Myrtales; Lythraceae
Description: partial 18S ribosomal RNA
Source: RNAcentral